AUAAAUGCAUUGAGCAAGAGGAUUAAUGGUAAUCCCUUUCAGCGAGAGAAUAGUAGUGAGAGAUUCUUAAGGUAACCAUUAAUUGUAGCUUGUGAGCAGAUAUAGUGAAUUAAUAAUAACUAUGUCCGGUACCGACCGUUAUUCGUUUUGAGUUGGGAUUAUUGACUAAAUAAUCCAAUUUAGGUGGUACCGCGAGCAUUCGUCCUAUUU
RNAcentral lists this non-coding RNA (210 nucleotides) under Fructilactobacillus sanfranciscensis. RNAcentral describes it as "Lactobacillus sanfranciscensis T-box sequence". It matches the Rfam family "T-box leader". Rfam says of the family: Uncharged tRNA acts as the effector for transcription antitermination of genes in the T-box leader family. T-boxes are found upstream of many aminoacyl-tRNA synthetase genes and some amino acid biosynthetic genes usually in Gram-positive bacteria. The anticodon of a specific tRNA base pairs to a specifier sequence within the T-box motif, and the NCCA acceptor tail of the tRNA base pairs to a conserved bulge in the T-box antiterminator hairpin. Lineage: Bacteria; Bacillati; Bacillota; Bacilli; Lactobacillales; Lactobacillaceae. The record is from RNAcentral.